RNAcentral lists this ribosomal RNA (406 nucleotides) under uncultured bacterium. Its description in RNAcentral is "partial 16S ribosomal RNA". It matches the Rfam family "Bacterial small subunit ribosomal RNA", at positions 30 to 526 of the family's 1533-position model. The record is from RNAcentral.
AUUGAACGCUGGCGGCAGGCCUAACACAUGCAAGUCGAACGAGUGGCGGACGGGUGAGUAAUGUCUGGGAAACUGCCUGAUGGAGGGGGAUAACUACUGGAAACGGUAGCUAAUACCGCAUACCAUCGUAUGUGCCCAGAUGGGAUUAGCUAGUAGGGGGGGUAAAGGCCCACCUAGGCCACGAUCCCUAGCUGGUCUGAGAGGAUGCUCGUCACCAUUGGGAGUGAGACAGGGCCCAGACGCCUACGGGAGGCAGCAGUGGGGAAUAUUGCACAAUGGGCGCGAGCCGGAUGCAGCCAUGCCGCGUGUAUGAAGAAGGCCCUAGGGUUGUAAAGUAGUUUCAGUCGGGAGGCGUUACCGACAGAAGAAGCACCGGCUAACUCCGUGCCAGCCGCCGCGGUAAUAC